UGGCUCAGAACGAACGCUGGCGGCGCGUUUAAGCAUGCAAGUCGAGCGGCAAGGGCCUUCGGGCCCCUAGAGCGGCGGACGGGUGAGUAACACGUGGACAAUCCUGCCCCCCGGCCCGGGAUAGCCCAGGGAAACCUGGAUUAAUACCGGAUGAGACGGGACCCGCGAUGGCGGGAUCCGGGAAAGGCGCUGCGGCGCCGCCGGGGGAUGAGUCUGCGUCCCAUUAGCUAGACGGCGGGGUAACGGCCCACCGUGGCGACGAUGGGUAGCCGGCCUGAGAGGGUGGACGGCCACAUUGGAACUGAGACACGGUCCAGACUCCUACGGGAGGCAGCAGCUAAGAAUCUUCCGCAAUGGGCGAAAGCCUGACGGAAGCGACGCCGCGUGAACGAAGAAGGCCGUGAGGUUGUAAAGUUCUUUUCGGGAGGGGGAACAACCGUGGCAGGGAAUGGCCGCGGGAUGACGUGAAUCCCGGAAUAAGCCCCGGCUAACUACGUGCCAGCCGCCGC
Molecule: ribosomal RNA, 509 nt
Filed under: uncultured bacterium
Lineage: Bacteria
Description: bacterial SSU rRNA
Rfam family: Bacterial small subunit ribosomal RNA
Source: RNAcentral